CCCUUAGAUGUUCUGGGCCGCACGCGCGUUACACUGAUGCAUUCAACGAGUUCUUCCUUGGCCGAGAGGCCUGGGCAAUCUUUUGAACGUGCAUCGUGAUAGGGAUAGAUUAUUGCAAUUAUUAAUCUUGAACGAGGAAUUCCUAGUAAACGCAAGUCAUCAGCUUGCAUUGAUUACGUCCCUGCCCUUUGUACACACCGCCCGUCGCACCUACCGAUUGAAUGGUCCGGUGAAAUCUCGGGACGGCGGCUUGGUCGCUUGCGUCCGACUGCUGAAACUUGAUUAAACCAUAUCAUUUAGAGGAAGGUGAANUCGUAACA
This 320-nucleotide ribosomal RNA is filed under the name uncultured eukaryote. RNAcentral's name for it is "partial 18S ribosomal RNA". It matches the Rfam family "Eukaryotic small subunit ribosomal RNA", at positions 1470 to 1796 of the family's 1831-position model. The record is from RNAcentral.